RNAcentral lists this transfer RNA (74 nucleotides) under Monodelphis domestica (gray short-tailed opossum). It matches the Rfam family "tRNA". From Rfam's summary of the family: Transfer RNA (tRNA) molecules are approximately 80 nucleotides in length. Their secondary structure includes four short double-helical elements and three loops (D, anti-codon, and T loops). Further hydrogen bonds mediate the characteristic L-shaped molecular structure. tRNAs have two regions of fundamental functional importance: the anti-codon, which is responsible for specific mRNA codon recognition, and the 3' end, to which the tRNAs corresponding amino acid is attached (by aminoacyl-tRNA synthetases). tRNAs cope with the degeneracy of the genetic code in two manners: having more than one tRNA (with a specific anti-codon) for a particular amino acid; and 'wobble' base-pairing, i.e. permitting non-standard base-pairing at the 3rd anti-codon position. Lineage: Eukaryota; Metazoa; Chordata; Mammalia; Didelphimorphia; Didelphidae. The record is from Rfam by way of RNAcentral.
UGGAAUGUGGUGUUGUAAAGGAAACACAGAGGAUUUUGAGUUCUUAGAUAUAGGUUCAAUUCCUAUUGUUCUAG